GUAGUCAGUCAAACUACUUUAUCUCACACCCGUUCCCAUGCCGAACACGGAAGUUAAGCUCUUCAGCGCCGAUGGUAGUCGGGGGUUUCCCCCUGUGAGAGUAGGACGCCGCCAAGC
This 117-nucleotide ribosomal RNA is filed under the name Bacillus velezensis. The record is from RNAcentral. Lineage: Bacteria; Bacillati; Bacillota; Bacilli; Caryophanales; Bacillaceae.